CGUGGGUAACCUGCCCAAGAGACUGGGACAACACCUGGGAACAGAUGCUAAUACCGGAUAACAACACUAGACGCAUGUCUAGAGUUUAAAAGAUGGUUCUGCUAUCACUCUUGGAUGGACCUGCGGUGCAUUAGCUAGUUGGUAAGGUAACGGCUUACCAAGGCAAUGAUGCAUAGCCGAGUUGAGAGACUGAUCGGCCACAUUGGGACUGAGACACGGCCCAAACUCCUACGGGAGGCAGCAG
Molecule: ribosomal RNA, 244 nt
Filed under: uncultured bacterium
Lineage: Bacteria
Description: partial 16S ribosomal RNA
Rfam family: Bacterial small subunit ribosomal RNA
Source: RNAcentral